This 467-nucleotide ribosomal RNA is filed under the name uncultured bacterium. Its description in RNAcentral is "partial 16S ribosomal RNA". It matches the Rfam family "Bacterial small subunit ribosomal RNA", at positions 29 to 507 of the family's 1533-position model. The record is from RNAcentral.
ACGCACGCUGGCGGCGUGCUUAACACAUGCCAGUCGCACGGAAAGGCCCUGCUUUUGUGGGGUGCUCGAGUGGCGAACGGGUGAGUAACACGUGAGUAACCUGCCCUUGACUUUGGGAUAACUUCAGGAAACUGGGGCUAAUACCGGAUAGGAGCUCCUGCUGCAUGGUGGGGGUUGGAAAGUUUCGGCGGUUGGGGAUGGACUCGCGGCUUAUCAGCUUGUUGGUGGGGUAGUGGCUUACCAAGGCUUUGACGGGUAGCCGGCCUGAGAGGGUGACCGGCCACAUUGGGACUGAGAUACGGCCCAGACUCCUACGGGAGGCAGCAGUGGGGAAUAAUGCACAAUGGGCGGAAGCCUGAUGCAGCAACGCCGCGUGCGGGAUGACGGCCUUCGGGUUGUAAACCGCUUUCGCCUGUGACGAAGCGUGAGUGACGGUAAUGGGUAAAGAAGCACCGGCUAACUACGUG